UGGGGAAUAUUGCACAAUGGGCGGAAGCCUGAUGCAGCGACGCCGCGUGAGGGAUGACGGCCUUCGGGUUGUAAACCUCUUUCAGUAGGGACGAAGCGUAAGUGACGGUACCUGCAGAAGAAGCACCGGCUAACUACGUGCCAGCAGCCGCGGUAAUACGUAGGGUGCGAGCGUUGUCCGGAAUUACUGGGCGUAAAGGGCCCGUAGGCGGUUUGUCACGUCGUCUGUGAAAUCCUAGGGCUUAACCCUGGACGUGCAGGCGAUACGGGCUGACUUGGGUACUACAGGGGAGACUGGAAUUUCUGGUGUAGCGGUGGAAUGCACAGAUAUCAGGAAGAACACCGAUGGCGAAGGCAGGUCUCUAGGUAGUAACUGACGCUGAGGAGCGAAAGAAUGGGUAGCGAACAGG
This 409-nucleotide ribosomal RNA is filed under the name Verrucomicrobiota bacterium. Its description in RNAcentral is "Verrucomicrobia bacterium partial 16S ribosomal RNA". It matches the Rfam family "Bacterial small subunit ribosomal RNA", at positions 355 to 776 of the family's 1533-position model. Lineage: Bacteria; Pseudomonadati; Verrucomicrobiota. The record is from RNAcentral.